Molecule: ribosomal RNA, 292 nt
Filed under: uncultured bacterium
Lineage: Bacteria
Description: partial 16S ribosomal RNA
Rfam family: Bacterial small subunit ribosomal RNA
Source: RNAcentral
GUGCCAGCAGCCGCGGUAAUACGUAGGGUGCGAGCGUUGUCCGGAAUUAUUGGGCGUAAAGAGCUCGUAGGCGGUUUGUUGCGUCGGCCGUGAAAACUAGAGGCUCAACUUCUAGCUUGCGGUCGAUACGGGCAGACUUGAGUUCGGUAGGGGAGACUGGAAUUCCUGGUGUAGCGGUGAAAUGCGCAGAUAUCAGGAGGAACACCGGUGGCGAAGGCGGGUCUCUGGGCCGAAACUGACGCUGAGGAGCGAAAGCGUGGGGAGCGAACAGGAUUAGAUACCCUCGUAGUCC